UCCUGGUCUAGCCAGAGGCCGCCACAGGGAAGUAAAGAGGGCCUGGUUCCAGUGCCUCAGUUGCAAAAUGACCAGCGUUCAGUGGGAAGGGCCAAUGGUGCCUGCAGCCCCUCUGGGAAUCCCACCCAUGAGGGGUCAGCACCAGGGAGAACACUGGCCUGGAGUUGUGCAGACCCUUCUCCCCAACGAGCGAGACUGAGCCCAGGAUCAUCCCCCAUCCACCUGCAACCCCUGGCCCCCACCCACCUCUGCUGGACAUUCUUGAUGCGGCCACCGGAGACCCUGAGACAUGUCACCGCCCCGCCUUCCUUCAAGGACCCCCACCAUGGGAGGAUAGUCCCAGGCCUGGUGCCCUCCGUCCUCCCUUCCUCCUCUUCUGUUCCCUCCCACUUCUCAGUCCCCUCCCCCUCCUCCAUCCCUCUUCCUGCUCCAAGGAGGAGUGGGGCAGAGUGGGAGGCAGAGCAACAGCCUCCAAAGACCUCCUAGUCCUUGGAACCUGUGAAAUGUGACCUUACAUGGCAGAAGGGACUUGGCGGAUGGGUUAAGUGAAGGAUCCUGAGAUGGGGGUGUUGUCCUGGUUUCUCCAGAUGGGCCCAGUGUCAUCACAAGGGUCCUCAUAAGAGGGAGCAAGAGAAUCAAGAGGAGGAGAUGUGACCACCGAACCAAAGUUUGGAGCAAUGCACUUUGAAGAUAGAGGAAGGUGCCAUGAGCCAAGGAUGCAAGCAGCCUCUUGAAGCUGGAAAAGGCAAGAAAUGGAUUCUCCUUAUUGAUUUUAGACUUCUGACCUCCAGAACUAAAGAUAAUAAGUUUGUGGUGUUUUAAGCCACUGAGUCUGUGGCAGUUGGUUACAGCAGCCCCGGGAACUCCUCCGGGUGAUGGGAUUGUGGCCUCAGGGUCACAGGCGGUGCUGUAGUUUAUAUGCCUGGUGGUGUUGGAUGGAUUAGCUGUUCCUUCUGCCCUAGACCAAGUCUUAUCAAGCAUCAAGCCAGCAUGGCCUGUACGGUCAUUUGUAUCUCUCACUGACGCACCUGCUGCCCCAGGGCCUGAGGUCCAGACCCUGGCCCACCUUGCCCCUCCCUCAUUGUAUCCUUGGGCGAGUUCCUUCCAGUCCUAACCUGUUUCCACUCAGCUCAGGGGAUCCCAAGUUUGAACUUCCAUCAAGUGGGCCCUGGCAGGAAAGAUGUGCUGCGCUCCAUGAAGAGCCUGAGGGACUCAGGGAGCCACUGUUGAUAGUGGCAGGACAAGGGGCCCCGCAGAGAUGGUGAUGGAUGAGGGGGAGGCGGUGGACAGUGUGAGCAGAGCCUGGGUCGAGAGAAGUUGUGAAGUGUCCCAUGCACCCUCUACCUAGCCCCCACAGUGGCUGCAGUACAACACCCCAGCAGGGAAUGGACGUCAGUGCAACACACAGAUCUCGUUGAGUCCACUGUCUGCAAACACGUGUGUGCAUGUGCAGCACCAUGUGGUUUCAUCACAUGUGACUCCAUGUACCUGUGGCCACAACCAAGACACAAAAGUGUUGGGUCACCACAAGACUUUUUAUAGGCACCACCAUCCCUAAGCCCUGGAAACCACUCAUCUAUUCUCCCUUGCUGCAAUCACAUUGUCUGACAAGUGGUAUGUAACUGGAUUGUGCAGCACGUAUCUUUUUGAGAUUGGCUUUUUCACUCACCAUGCUUUGCUUGAGGUUCAUCCAAGUUGCUGUGUCAGAGAUUCAUUCCUUCUUAUUGCUGAAUAGUAUGCCCCAGACAUGGAGGGUCCACA
Molecule: long non-coding RNA, 1761 nt
Organism: Equus caballus (horse)
Lineage: Eukaryota; Metazoa; Chordata; Mammalia; Perissodactyla; Equidae
Source: Ensembl